GCUCUUUCCCUUUCUCUCUCUAAAACCCUUGUCCUAAAGGUUUUCUUUUACUUCUCUCUAGAUUCCCAGCUCCUUGAACCUUAGGAUUUCGAUUUUGGUGUUACCCAAGCGUCCGCGGAGUAGAGGGCUUCAUUUCUACCGAACGUCCUCUUCAUUCCAAUCGGUAAGUCAUUUAUCUCCUUCUCCUUCACUAUCCUUGAACCUAGGGCUUGCAACGUUACUGUUUGCAUGUUACUAGUGGAUUUCGUUUUCGUACGUUCCGCCUAAUCAAACUCUAAAAGCUGCUACGGUCACCACUUUGGUGAUUUGAGGUUGAGUUCUUAUGCUGUCAAGGGUACUGCUAGGACAGUUUCAGUAGUUGUGCUUGGAGAAACCCAGAUGGCGAGGAGGUUCUUUUGGAGACGACCUUGGAAGUUGAGGACAAUGCUGCUACCUAGUCUCCUUAGGAUGUUAUCGAUUAUUGUCUGUAUUUUGAAAUAUUAUUUCCCUUUAAGUUUACAGUUUAAAUCUUUUUGGAGUUGAAGUUUAAUUUCUGAAGUUACUUUGAGGAUGACUGUAAUCCUUAAUUACUCUUGACUGCUUUCCUAUAUUAUGCAUGAUGA
Molecule: long non-coding RNA, 602 nt
Organism: Vigna angularis (adzuki bean)
Lineage: Eukaryota; Viridiplantae; Streptophyta; Magnoliopsida; Fabales; Fabaceae
Exons: 2
Source: RefSeq, a predicted model, not a curated record